This 442-nucleotide ribosomal RNA is filed under the name uncultured bacterium. RNAcentral's name for it is "partial 16S ribosomal RNA". It matches the Rfam family "Bacterial small subunit ribosomal RNA", at positions 338 to 795 of the family's 1533-position model. The record is from RNAcentral.
CCUACGGGAGGCAGCAGUGGGGAAUAUUGGACAAUGAGCGCAAGCCUGACCCAGCGACACAGCGUGAAGGAAGAAGGCUUUCGGGUUGUAAACUUCUUUUAAGAGGGAAGAACAGAAGACGUUACCUCUUGAAUAAGCCACGGCUAACUACGUGCCAGCAGCCGCGGUAAUACGUAGGUGGCAAGCGUUGUCCGGAUUUACUGGGGGUAAAGGGCGUGUAUCCGGGCUGACAAGUCAGAUGUGAAAUUCCGGGGCCUAACCCCGGACCUGCCUUUGAAACUGUUGGUCUUGAGUAUCGGAGAGGUAGGCGGAAUUCCUAGUGUAGCGGUGAAAUGCGUAGAUAUUAGGAGGAACACCAGUGGCGAAGGCGGCCUGCUGGAUGACAACUGACGGUGAGGCGCGAAAGCGUGGGGAGCAAACAGGAUUAGAUACCCCUGUAGUC